GGUUGAUCCUGCCAGUAGUCAUAUGCUUGUCUCAAAGAUUAAGCCAUGCAUUGUCUCAGUACUUGCUUUAACAAGGCGAAACCGCGAAUGGCUCAUUAAAUCAGUUAUGGUUCACUAGAUCGUAUGAAUUACAUGGAUAACUGUGGUAAUUCUAGAGCUAAUACAUGCAUACAGCCCGGCUGCCUUGUGCAGCGGGCGCAGUUAUUAGAACAAAACCAAUCCGGCCUUGGUCGGUUUAUUGGUGACUCUGAAUAACCGAAGCGGAGCGCACGGUCUCGUACCGGCGCCAGAU
This 292-nucleotide ribosomal RNA is filed under the name uncultured eukaryote. RNAcentral describes it as "partial 18S ribosomal RNA". It matches the Rfam family "Eukaryotic small subunit ribosomal RNA", at positions 6 to 295 of the family's 1831-position model. The record is from RNAcentral.